GACGGGGACCCGCACAAGCGGUGGAUGAUGUGGAUUAAUUCGAUGCAACGCGAAAACCUUACUACCCUUGACAUGUCCGGAAUCCUGCAGAGAGUGCGGGAGUGCCGAAAGGGAAUCGGAACACAGGUGCUGGCAUGGCUGUCGUCAGCUCGUGUCGUGAGAUGUUGGGUUAAGUCCCGCAACGAGCGCAACCCUUAUCAUUAGUUGCUACGCAAGGGCACUCUAAUGAGACUGCCGGUGACAAACCGGAGGAAGGUGGGGAUGACGUCAAGUCCUCAUGGCCCUUAUGGGUAGGGCUUCACACGUCAUACAAUGGUCGGUACAGAGGGUUGCCAAGCCGCGAGGUGGAGCCAAUCCCAGAAAGCCGAUCGUAGUCCGGAUUGUUCUCUGCAACUCGAGAGCAUGAAGUCGGAAUCGCUAGUAAUCGCGGAUCAGCAUGUCGCGGUGAAUACGUUCCCGGGUCUU
This 465-nucleotide ribosomal RNA is filed under the name uncultured Thiobacillus sp. RNAcentral describes it as "bacterial SSU rRNA". It matches the Rfam family "Bacterial small subunit ribosomal RNA", at positions 912 to 1382 of the family's 1533-position model. The record is from RNAcentral. Lineage: Bacteria; Pseudomonadati; Pseudomonadota; Betaproteobacteria; Nitrosomonadales; Thiobacillaceae.